AAUAAUUAGGCCUUUUAGAGUCUCUAAUGCAGAUUUUACAGGGGAAAAGAGUGAUAGCUGCUGUGUUAGACAGAGUGGGCUUCACAGCACCCGGCUCUCCAUCCUGGCUCCCCUCUCUCCUCCCUCCUAGUCGUACAUGGGCUCAACAUUAAAAACGACCGGAGGCCUAAGCUCCAGCGACCUGGGGAGCAGCGCUGGAACCGGAGAGCGUGCACGGGCACUCUGAAAUGCGUGCGAGCCAUUAUUUCCAGCUACCAUGCGGCAGACCUGGGCAGGACAGAGGCGAGGCGCUGCGAAAGCGAGCCUGUUGGGCUCUGUGUUAAUGAGACAGCUCUGCAGGGAUGAGAAGAACACACACAGAGCAGCUCAGGAGACGUCUGCCGGCCUCCCAAAGAUUAAGAGUCCCUCUCGCUUCCAAGCAAGGACGCCAGCGGGGCUGAAAUACUCCACAUCUGGGAGACAUUAAGGGCAACAUGGAAGAGGCUCAUUUAAGGCUCUUGUUAGCUCACCUGGCACUUUAAGGAGGACCAUUAAUAUUGAUCUACUUAAAAUUUGAACAAGCUCAGUUCACAUGUCUGUUCGGUGAAGGAGACACAGGACCUCAGUGUGCAUCAGUCCAGCCUUCGCUAUCAAACUGGCCGAGGGCUGUGAUUGGAAGCGAAUCGCCUCUCCAGAUGUUCUCCCUUGUAUUUCAUUGAAUCCAACACCUCUGUAGGGCGACUGUCCAGCCGUAAAUCACCGGCUGCGUGCCGCAUAAGGAGAAUGAGGGGAUGUGGCUCCGCGCAUUAGUCACAUGCUCGAUUCAUGAGCUCACUGCAAAUAUCUUCGGGACGCAAGCGAAACAAUUAGCUGUUACCUUAACCCCGAGGCCACAAAGUCUCCUAAAGGGGUUUGGUAUCCCCUUUAUGUGCUCCGAAGCCCCAGCCCCAGGCCCCGGGGACAGCAGAGCUUUAUAAGAAUUACUGGGUUUUAUGUGGUUUUCUUGGAUGACAGUCCACCACAAGUCACUGUGCAGCGUUAGCAUCAGUUCACGGCUUUAUUGCGGUUCCGUAGCAGAGCUUCGGUUCCAGCCGCCGCAGAUCAGUCAGGUCGAACAGGUGUCCGCGAAGCGCUCGGCUCUCAUCCGUCUAAUGUAAAUGUACUGUGCAACCAAGACGGUGAUUAAUCUCCGCAAAGCACCGGGCGACGCUCAGCUUCCAAGCCCUGAGUCAGAGCUGCGUCUGUAUCAGUAUUCAGCAUGUGAGCCAAACAUUUAAACAGAAACACAGUGUGCUAUCAUAGACCCUCCUUAACC
RNAcentral lists this long non-coding RNA (1294 nucleotides) under Betta splendens (Siamese fighting fish). RNAcentral describes it as "lncRNA (ENSBSLG00000017943.1)". Lineage: Eukaryota; Metazoa; Chordata; Actinopteri; Anabantiformes; Osphronemidae. The record is from RNAcentral.